UUCACCCACUCACCCUUGCUGCCUGUGUGUGUCUCUGCCUCUGUUGGUGGUGCUGGGAUCCAAAGGACCAGGACAGGACCAGGACAGGACCAGGACGCACAUCCUCUGACAGCACAGACAUGUCGGACUCAGAGACCGCUGCCGCCCCCGCCGCCGCCGAGACCCCCGUCCCUGCCGCGUGUGCAGACAUCAAGGCUGCACUGGACAAAUGUGUUGCAGAGAAGGGGGCGGAGGCCUGCCAAGACCUGAUGAAGGAGUUUGCCGCUUGCGUGAAGAACGCCACAGAGGGGACGUCCUGAGGCGGAGACUCUUCUCUCCCCCAUGUCCACUGCACUGAGACCUCCAAGUUUCCCAGCAUUCUCCUCUGCACAGCAGCGUGGACUGAACAACAACAACAACGAUGACGACGAUGGUGUGAUUCAGCUCAUGCUGAGUCGGGGUCUGCUGGCAGUUUCCUGUUCCUGUUUUAGAGCCUCGGUCUUCCCGCCAUUCCCCUUCUCCUCCGUGUGGUCAACAGCUCGUCGACUUGUAGACAAUUCCAGAGAGCCGGCGGGCCGAGACGUACAGCUGUCAACUUGAAAACUUACAUGGAAAUAAAGUUUAAAUGAAUUCAUGUGGAAA
Long non-coding RNA from Synchiropus splendidus (mandarinfish), 621 nucleotides. RefSeq lists it as uncharacterized. Lineage: Eukaryota; Metazoa; Chordata; Actinopteri; Syngnathiformes; Callionymidae. The record is from RefSeq and is a predicted model, not a curated record. The transcript has 3 exons.